UCUUAUUAUAUUAAAGAAAUCAAAUGUUUUAAGCAUGUUCAUGCAUCAUGAAUACCAUGUUAUGUAAUAGGUUGUUUGCAUUAGAAUUCACGAAUAUGUUGCAUUGCAUAAUUUGAUGAUGAUGAUGUGGAUGGAUAUUGGAUGAUCCUCUAGCCCUCACUAUGAUACCAUAUGACAUGAGAUGAUACGAUAUGAUAUGAUAUGAGAUGGAAAGACUAGGUGUGGCC
RNAcentral lists this long non-coding RNA (227 nucleotides) under Manihot esculenta (cassava). RNAcentral's name for it is "long non-coding RNA (MESC_LNC007855)". The record is from RNAcentral. Lineage: Eukaryota; Viridiplantae; Streptophyta; Magnoliopsida; Malpighiales; Euphorbiaceae.